This 116-nucleotide ribosomal RNA is filed under the name Bacillus aquiflavi. Lineage: Bacteria; Bacillati; Bacillota; Bacilli; Caryophanales; Bacillaceae. The record is from RNAcentral.
UCUGGUGGCGAUGGCGAGAAGGUCACACCCGUUCCCAUUCCGAACACGGAAGUUAAGCUUCUCAGCGCCGAUGGUAAUAGGGGGCAUCCCCUUGUGAGAGUAGGACGUUGCCAGGC